RNAcentral lists this ribosomal RNA (490 nucleotides) under uncultured bacterium. Its description in RNAcentral is "partial 16S ribosomal RNA". It matches the Rfam family "Bacterial small subunit ribosomal RNA", at positions 30 to 507 of the family's 1533-position model. The record is from RNAcentral.
AUUGACCGCUUUCUUCAUGCCUAACACAUGCAAGUCGAACGGUAACAGGAAGCAGCUUGCUGCUUCGCUGACGAGUGGCGGACGGGUGAGUAAUGUCUGGGAAACUGCCUGAUGGAGGGGGAUAACUACUGGAAACGGUAGCUAAUACCGCAUAACGUCGCAAGACCAAAGAGGGGGACCUUAGGGCCUCUUGCCAUCGGAUGUGCCCAGAUGGGAUUAGCUAGUAGGUGGGGUAACGGCUCACCUAGGCGACGAUCCCUAGCUGGUCUGAGAGGAUGACCAGCCACACUGGAACUGAGACACGGUCCAGACUCCUACGGGAGGCAGCAGUGGGGAAUAUUGCACAAUGGGCGCAAGCCUGAUGCAGCCAUGCCGCGUGUAUGAAGAAGGCCUUCGGGUUGUAAAGUACUUUCAGCGGGGAGGAAGGGAGUAAAGUUAAUACCUUUGCUCAUUGACGUUACCCGCAGAAGAAGCACCGGCUAACUCCGUG